This is a long non-coding RNA of Girardinichthys multiradiatus, 559 nucleotides long. RefSeq lists it as uncharacterized. Lineage: Eukaryota; Metazoa; Chordata; Actinopteri; Cyprinodontiformes; Goodeidae. The record is from RefSeq and is a predicted model, not a curated record. The transcript is spliced from 3 exons.
CAGGAAUCUGGCCGACCCUGCGUUUGGUCGCUGUGACUCCUGAUAUUUGACACGACAGUCAGAUUUACAUUCCCUCCUGUACAAAAGCGUGCAACUUGUUCUCUUCAUCCAGAAAGAUGGCUGGGGCAGGGUUGACCGCCAGACAGAAGGAAGCAGGGAACGAGAGGCAAAAAACUACAAGGUGGUGAAGUGGGAAACCAUAUCCAGAAGGUGACAGUGAGGUAGCAGAUGUGUAAAACACAAACGACCUUGAGGAGAAUGUGACUCGUUCUGGGCGGACUCCGAUCAAACCUCCCGGUUGCUCUCAGAAAGCACAUCAGAAGCUGAGCGUUGCCCCUCUCGAGGUUGUGGGAUCUUCAUCAUUCCUUGAGUGAGAGGCAGAACAAACCAUGGACAGGUUGCUACAACUCAGUAAGCAAAAACACACCUAACAACACGUUAUCUUUAAUUAACCAAAUAUGUAUGUUUCUGGAUAUUGGGAGAAGGUCAGAGUGCCCAGAGAGAAAUCAGGUAUGUACUGGAGCAACAUGCAAACUAUAAAGGCUACAGCAAAUUUUGU